GAAGCCCUUCGGGGCAGGGAGACAGGUGGUGCAUGGUUGUCGUCAGCUCGUGUCGUGAGAUGUUAGGUUAAGUCCUGCAACGAGCGCAACCCCUUAUCAUUAGUUGCUACCAUUAAGUUGAGCACUCUAGUGAGACUGCCCGGGUUAACCGGGAGGAAGGUGGGGAUGACGUCAAAUCAUCAUGCCCCUUAUGUCCAGGGCUACACACGUGCUACAAUGGUGGGUACAGAGAGAUGCAAGACCGCGAGGUGGAGCAAAACUCAAAAACCCAUCCCAGUUCGGAUUGUAGGCUGCAACUCGCCUACAUGAAGCCGGAGUUGCUAGUAAUCGCGAAUCAGAAUGUCGCGGUGAAUACGUUCCCGGGCCUUGUACACACCGCCCGUCACACCAUGAGAGCUGGCAACACCCGAAGUCCGUGAGGUAACCUGUAAAGGAGCCAGCGGCCGAAGGUGGGGUUAGUGAUUGGGGUGAAGUCGUAACAAGGUAGCCGUAGGAGAACCUGCGGCU
Molecule: ribosomal RNA, 507 nt
Filed under: uncultured Clostridium sp.
Lineage: Bacteria; Bacillati; Bacillota; Clostridia; Eubacteriales; Clostridiaceae
Description: bacterial SSU rRNA
Rfam family: Bacterial small subunit ribosomal RNA
Source: RNAcentral